CGUCGUCGACGUACGUCUACGAGAGGUUCGAUUACUGGCUCAGGAUGAACGCUGGCGGCGUGCCUAAUACAUGCAAGUCGAACGCAUUACUUCGGUAGUGAGUGGCGAACGGGUGAGUAACACGUAGGUAACUUACCUCUAAGACGAGGAUAACGACUGGAAACGGUCGCUAAAACUGGAUAGGAUCAUUUGAGGCAUCUCGAAUGAUUUAAAGGGGCUUUCAAGCCACACUUAGAGAAAGGCCUGCGGCGCAUUAGCUAGUUGGUGGGGUAGAGGCCUACCAAGGCGAUGAUGCGUAGCCGGACUGAGAGGUCGAACGGCCACAUUGGGACUGAGACACGGCCCAAACUCCUACGGGAGGCAGCAGUAGGGAAUUUUCGGCAAUGGGGGAAACCCUGACCGAGCAACGCCGCGUGAAUGAAGACGUAUUUCGGUAUGUAAAGUUCUUUUAUUAAGGAAGAAUAUCACGGAUAGGAAAUGAUCUGUGAGUGACGGUACUUAAUGAAUAAGCCCCGGCUAACUAUGUGCCAGCCGCCGC
This 538-nucleotide ribosomal RNA is filed under the name uncultured bacterium. RNAcentral describes it as "bacterial SSU rRNA". It matches the Rfam family "Bacterial small subunit ribosomal RNA", at positions 1 to 518 of the family's 1533-position model. The record is from RNAcentral.